UACGUAGGGGGCGAGCGUUAAUCGGAAUUACUGGGCGUAAAGCGUGCGCAGGCGGUUUGGUAAGACAGAUGUGAAAUUCCCGGGCUUAACCUGGGAACUGCAUUUGUGACUGCCAGGCUAGAGUGCGGCAGAGGGGCGUGGAAUUCCGCGUGUAGCAGUGAAAUGCGUAGCUAUGCGGAGGAACACCGAUGGCGAAGGCAACUCCCUGGGCCUGCACUGACGCUCAUGCACGAAGGCGUGGGGAGCAAACAGG
This 253-nucleotide ribosomal RNA is filed under the name uncultured bacterium. Its description in RNAcentral is "partial 16S ribosomal RNA". It matches the Rfam family "Bacterial small subunit ribosomal RNA", at positions 524 to 776 of the family's 1533-position model. The record is from RNAcentral.